CGGGGGGGUGGAAUUACAGCCGUCCUGUAGUGGUAGACACAAGUUCAGAGCUCCACUUCCCCCCUCUUUAAUUAGGCUGGGGAGAGCCGCGGAGGCGCCUGGUUGAGGUGCAAGCGAGGCGGCCGGGACGAGCGAUGCAGAAGGGGUAUCAGCGUGCAAGCUGGAAACUCAAACCCAUUGGGACAGUAAAUAUUUUGGACCUGUGUCUUUGGAAGAUGGAAGAAAACAAAGCAGCUGCCAAUAAGGUUUCAUCCUGCUCUGAGUCCCAUGGCAACUCCACCAGUGAAGAGGGAAGAUGAGUUUGGCCCAUUGCUUGGCAGUACCUUGCAAGGUUGUCACUGAAGUCUGAUUAGCCCUUAUGAGCUCCUUUGCCUUCAGGGGAAGCCUAACAUGGGAUCAGUUCUGCGUACUAGCAGAAGUUUUGUGUCCUUGCCUUCCUCGCUGCCUUCAGGAUCAUAAAAUCCAGCAUCUGACAGCUCCUGCAGUAAAGACUGUUACUGACUGACUGACAGCUCAUUUUCAUUCAGGAUUCCAGCAAAGCAUCUGCCCUGGUCAGUUGCUCAGCACUUGCAUCAAAAAAUUGUCUUCCCUGAACUCUAGAAAUCUGGAUUGCUUUGCAAUCCAUCACACUGUUCUCUCAGUAAAUUCUGGCAUGGUUAAACUUCUCCAUGAGAGUCAGGAAGAAUUUGAGAAUCUUCUUUCAAUUGUUUAAGAAAUCUUCGUCCACAGUCUCUCCUUGAUCAUUCACCACCAUGACAUUCCCCCAUUCUGGCUUCCCCUCUGACCCUGACCCAUCAGCCUGUUACCCAUGCAACCGUGGACUUGACUGUUAUUUCCUCUUUCCUAUCCUAGGCAUUUUAAAAUAAAAAUGCUAUAGCUUC
This is a long non-coding RNA of Pseudopipra pipra, 881 nucleotides long. RefSeq lists it as uncharacterized. The transcript is spliced from 3 exons. The record is from RefSeq and is a predicted model, not a curated record. Lineage: Eukaryota; Metazoa; Chordata; Aves; Passeriformes; Pipridae.